UACGUAGGGUGCGAGCGUUGUCCGGAAUUACUGGGCGUAAAGAGCUCGUAGGUGGUUUGUCGCGUUGUUCGUGAAAACCGGGGGCUUAACCCUCGGCGUGCGGGCGAUACGGGCAGACUUGAGUACUGCAGGGGAGACUGGAAUUCCUGGUGUAGCGGUGGAAUGCGCAGAUAUCAGGAGGAACACCGGUGGCGAAGGCGGGUCUCUGGGCAGUAACUGACGCUGAGGAGCGAAAGCGUGGGGAGCGAACAUG
This 253-nucleotide ribosomal RNA is filed under the name uncultured bacterium. Its description in RNAcentral is "partial 16S ribosomal RNA". It matches the Rfam family "Bacterial small subunit ribosomal RNA", at positions 524 to 776 of the family's 1533-position model. The record is from RNAcentral.